UUCGAUCAUGGCUCAGAUUGAACGCUGGCGGGAUGCUUUUAUUACGUCGAAACGGCAGCACGGACUUCGGUCUGGUGGCGAGUGGCGAACGGGUGAGAUGACGAACGUGCCUAGUAGCGGGGGAUAACUGCCGAAAGCGGGUAGCUAAUACCGCAUACGCCCUUCGGGGAAAGCGGGGGACCUUCGGGCCUCGCACUAAUAGAGCGAACUGAUAUCGGAUUAGCUGCUGGUGGGGUAACGGUCACCAGGCGACGAUCCGUAGCUGGUUUGUGAUAGGAGACCAUGCCACUGGGGAUCGAUUAUCGGCCCAGACUCCUACGGGAGGCAGCAGUGGGGGAAUUUUGGACAAUGGGGAAACCCUGAUCCAGCCAUCCCGGGCGUGUGCGAUGAAGGCCUUCGGGUUGUAAAGCACUUUUGGCAGGAAAGAAACGGCACGGGAUAAUACCCCGUGCAACUGACGGUACCUGCAGAACAAGCACCGGCUAACUACGUGCCAGCAGCCGCGGUAAUGUAGGGUGCAGUGUUAACGGAAUUAUCGGGCGUAAAGCGUGCGCAGGCGGUUCGAAAAAGAAAGAUGUGAACCAGGAGAGCUUAACUUUGGAACUCGUAUUUUGACACUACCGAGCUAGAGUGUGUCAGAGGGAGGUGGAAUUCCUGCGUGUAGCAGCAGUUCUUCCGGCAGAUAUGCGGAGGAAUAUCGACGAAGGCAGCCUCCUGGGAUAACACUGACGCUCAUAACGAAAGCGUGGGGAGCAAACAGGAUUAGAUACCCUGGUAGUCCACGCCCUAAACGAUGUCAACUUAGCUGUUGGGGCCUCCUGGCCUUGGUAGCAGCUAACGCGUGAAGUUGACCGCCUGGGGAGUACGGUCGCAAGAUUAAAACUCAAAGUACCCGACGGGGACCCGCAAGGCGCGGUGGAUGAUGUGGAUUAAUCUGAUGCAACGGCGAAAAACCUUACCUACCCUUGACAUGUCUGGAAUCCCGAAGAGAUUUGGGAGUGUCAAAAUAGAACCGGAACACAGGCGUUGGGUAUGGCUGUCGUCAGCUCGUGUCGUGAGAUGCUGGGUUAAGUCCUGCAACGAGCGCAACCCUGGAUACGCUAGUUGCUACGAAAGGGCACUCUAAUGAGGCUGCCGGUGGCAACUGGAGGAAGGUGGGGAUGACGUCAAGUCCUCAUGGCCUCUAUGGGUAGGGCUUUCACACGUCAUACAAUGGUCGGGACAGAGGGUCGCCAACCCGCGAGGGGGAGCCAAUCCCAGAAACCCGAUCGUAGUCCUGAUCACAGUCUGCAACUCGACUGCGUGAAGUCGGAAUCGCUAGUAAUCGCGGAUCAGCAUGUCGCGGCAGAAUACGUUCUGGCCUGCGCUAACGCUCGUCACCAUGGGAGUGGGUUUUACCAGAAGCGUAGUUAGCCUAACCGUAAGGAGGGCGAUUACCACGGUAGGAUUCAUGACCAGUGAAGUCGUAACAAGGC
This 1475-nucleotide ribosomal RNA is filed under the name uncultured Bordetella sp. RNAcentral describes it as "partial 16S-23S ribosomal RNA intergenic spacer". It matches the Rfam family "Bacterial small subunit ribosomal RNA". Lineage: Bacteria; Pseudomonadati; Pseudomonadota; Betaproteobacteria; Burkholderiales; Alcaligenaceae. The record is from RNAcentral.